CCCAAUCCACAGACUACAAAUGUCGGUGAUGUUUGUGUCCAGUAUGAAGGAAGUUAAAGUUAGUUGUUGGUGACCUGCAGCGAUACAGACGAAGAGUACCUGCUGUCCCGAAGGCUUCUGCCCUACGACCUUGGCUACGGUGCUAACAGUCAGAGUGAAGCAGAGACAGAUCAGACUCCAGAUCAUGUUGUAGUUGAGGGAAGCAGCACAACGGACAAAGAACCGACCAGAUUCUCCACAGAGGAGUUUCCCGUUUCAACUACCGACAAGCGUGUCCUUUACAGGAUCUAUAAAGAGGAAACCAACGAGCAGAGAACAAUCCUCAGAAUCGUAAAUGCUCUUACCACUCUGGAGGACUUCAAGAGACUAUCCCUUUGGUGUCUGAGGGUGUGAGUACAAUUCUAAUACAUGUGAUGUCUUGCUCAACAUGUGGCAGUAACUUACAGUAACUGGUAACACUAGUAUUACUGUGUUGAUUUCACAAUUUGAUGCUCACUGUCUUCUAAUUAUCUACAGUCUAUACACCAGGUUAGCCCAGCUAGUAGCAGACGCCAGGUUAGCCCAGCUAAUAGCAGACGCCAGGUUAGCCCAGCUAAUAGCAGACGCCAGGUUAGCCCAGCUAAUAGCAGACGCCAGGUUAGCCCAGCUAGUAGCAGACGCCAGGUUAGCCCAUCUAGUAGCAGACGCCAGGUUAGCCCAGCUAGUAGCAGACGCCAGGUUAGCCCAGCUAAUAGCAGAAAUGGAGACCAAUGAUGUAAGUAUACAAAUGUAGUAAUUAAUGUUAUGUCUGUAACAGAAACAUCUCCCCUCGUACACAUUGUAUUAACAGUGUGACUUUAUUUCUCUCAAUAGGUGAAAGCUCUUGUCGUGUGUCAUAUCCUAGACUAACAGCAGACAUGUCCAUGAACGUGUCCUGUCUUGUUACCUGACGGUAUGGUUUUUUAAAUAUUUAUUUUAACUAGGCAAGUCAGUUAAGAACAAAUUAUUAUUUUCAAUGACAG
This 1001-nucleotide long non-coding RNA is filed under the name Salmo salar (Atlantic salmon). RNAcentral describes it as "lncRNA (ENSSSAG00000093710.1)". The record is from RNAcentral. Lineage: Eukaryota; Metazoa; Chordata; Actinopteri; Salmoniformes; Salmonidae.